This 228-nucleotide ribosomal RNA is filed under the name uncultured bacterium. RNAcentral describes it as "partial 16S ribosomal RNA". It matches the Rfam family "Bacterial small subunit ribosomal RNA", at positions 28 to 244 of the family's 1533-position model. The record is from RNAcentral.
GACGAACGCUGGCGGCGUGCCUAAUACAUGCAAGUCGUACGCACGGAGAUGGAACUUGUUCUGUCAAAGUGAGUGGCGCACGGGUGAGUAACACGUGGGAAACCUACCCUUCAGCGGGGGAUAACCAUCGGAAACGAUGACUAAUACCGCAUAGACGACAGCGUCGCAUGACGCAAUCGGGAAAGACGGCUUCGGCUGUCACUGAAGGAUGGUCCCGCGGUGCAUUAG